GGGGCGGUAGCUCAGUUGGUAGAGCAGCGGACUCAUAAUCCGUCAGGUCCUCGGUUCAAGUCCGAGUCGCCCCA
This 74-nucleotide transfer RNA is filed under the name Actinomycetes bacterium. Its description in RNAcentral is "tRNA-Ile". It matches the Rfam family "tRNA". From Rfam's summary of the family: Transfer RNA (tRNA) molecules are approximately 80 nucleotides in length. Their secondary structure includes four short double-helical elements and three loops (D, anti-codon, and T loops). Lineage: Bacteria; Bacillati; Actinomycetota; Actinomycetes. The record is from RNAcentral. RNAcentral also lists the same sequence under 1 other name.